This 449-nucleotide ribosomal RNA is filed under the name uncultured bacterium. RNAcentral describes it as "partial 16S ribosomal RNA". It matches the Rfam family "Bacterial small subunit ribosomal RNA", at positions 339 to 795 of the family's 1533-position model. The record is from RNAcentral.
CUACGGGGGGCACCAGUGGGGAAUAUUGCGCAAUGGGCGAAAGCCUGACGCAGCAACGCCGCGUGAGUGAUGAAGGCCUUCGGGUCGUAAAGCUCUGUCGGGAGGGAAGAACACCUUCGGGUCUGACGGUACCUCCCGAGGAAGCACAGGCUAACUCCGUGCCAGCAGCCGCGGUAAUACGGAGUGUGCAAGCGUUGUUCGGAAUUACUGGGCGUAAAGCGCGCGUAGGCGGCUUGAUAAGUCAGAUGUGAAAUCCCUCGGCUUAACCGAGGAACUGCAUUUGAAACUGUCAGGCUUGAGUACGGGAGGGGGAAGCGGAAUUCCCAGUGUAGAGGUGAAAUUCGUAGAUAUUGGGAGGAACACCAGCGACGAAGGCGGCUUCCUGGACCGAUACUGACGCUGAGGCGCGAAAGCGUGGGGAGCAAACAGGAUUAGAUACCCGAGUAGUC